UUACCUUGGCAAUUUUUUUGGCAAUCAAUUUUAACAUAAGUUUUGGAGGGGACAAACCACAUUCAAACCAUAACGCUUUCCUUCUUAGAACAUCAUCUUCUUUGCUAUGACUCAGCCAUCUUCUAGUUACCUCCUAUAACCCUGGGUGCUACUUCUGUUUAUUUCAUGGAAUCUUCUACAAUCUGUGUCAUAGUGUUUGUGGGGUUCCAGAUUCUGCUCUGGGCUCUCUUCUCUUCUCACCCUACCCAUUUCCCUGGGAAAUUGUACCUACUUCUGUUAUUGAUCUUUUGAUAACUUCCAUAUCUGUUCUUCAGCUCUGUGGUACAUUGCAAAGCCUGUCCAGAAAUAUUUAUUGCUCCUCCUGUCAAGAGGUGGAGUUGAUUUCUCCAACCAUUGAAUCUGGCUGCCUUUGGGACUUGCUAUGGAGAACAAAAUGCAGAAGUGAUGCUGUGCCAGUCUUAAGCUUGUACCUCAAGAUGUUUUGCACACAUAUGCUUUUGAUCUUGGAACCCCUUAUCCUAGCCCAGUGAACAAACUGGGCUGAGCUGAUGAUCAAAGACACCUCCUUCACCCUUUCUGUCUACAAGGCCCUCUGAAAACAGCUGGUCCUCUGGUGAUCUAUCAGUUAACUGGAUACUUUCAAAAUGUAAUUUUAACCAUGUGAAUCACCUGAAGAAAUUCCUAUAAUGGCUCACAUUCUGUCAUAAUGUCCAUGAGCUUCUGCUGGACUCACAGCCUUGACUUUAAUCCUCAUAUAAUUGGGAAGCAUUAACAAUUCUUGAAUGGGAACAUGUUAGUACCAGGGCUCUGCUUCAAGAGAACUGGUCUGGGAGUUGUACUGAGCAUGGCCUAUGGGGAAACUUGGGAUGUAAGAAGAGAAAUUAAGAAGGCCUUUCAUACAUCCAAUGAGAAAAGAUGGAUCUCAAACAAGACUGGUGGCAAUGGGAACUUUCAGUGUUUUUUGAAGGAAAGUUUUAGGAGGAUGAGAUGGAUACCAACAAGAACUUCAGGAGUAUGUUAUUCAGGCUUUGUUCUGACCAGAUGUCAAGGGAGGGAAAGGGAAAAGUAAAAACUGCCCGUGAUCUCAAGCCUGGCUCACAGAUAUGAGUGAAAGCACUGUUUGAAUAAUAAAGUAUGGAGGAGAAGGAAGUUUAUGGAGCAAAGAAAUCGUCACAAGACAACUAGGGGACAUGGUGCUAGAAAGGUGGUUUGGGGUCAGCCCUUCUGUGCUUGCGUGGCAGCUAGUAGCUCAAGCGCACUGCUCAGCUUUUUCCUUCUGCAUCUCUGUAUACACCAUUUCUUCCACCCAGCUUCCUGAUCUAUUUAUUAAAACCAUACUUCCAA
Non-coding RNA from Chlorocebus sabaeus (green monkey), 1344 nucleotides. NCBI's taxonomy places the organism in Eukaryota, Metazoa, Chordata, Mammalia, Primates, Cercopithecidae. The record is from RefSeq and is a predicted model, not a curated record.